This 497-nucleotide ribosomal RNA is filed under the name uncultured bacterium. RNAcentral describes it as "partial 16S ribosomal RNA". It matches the Rfam family "Bacterial small subunit ribosomal RNA", at positions 28 to 507 of the family's 1533-position model. The record is from RNAcentral.
GAUGAACGCUGGCGGCGUGCCUAAUACAUGCAAGUCGAGCGAACAGACGAGGAGCUUACUCCUCUGACGUUAGCGGCGGACGGGUGAGUAACACGUGGAUAACCUACCCAUAAGACUGGGAUAACUUCGGGAAACCGGAGCUAAUACCGGAUAACAUGUUGAACCGCAUGGUUCAACAGUGAAAGACGGUCUUGCUGUCACUUAUAGAUGGAUCCGCGUCGCAUUAGCUAGUUGGUAAGGUAACGGCUUACCAAGGCAACGAUGCGUAGCCGACCUGAGAGGGUGAUCGGCCACACUGGAACUGAGACACGGUCCAGACUCCUACGGGAGGCAGCAGUAGGGAAUCUUCCGCAAUGGGCGAAAGCCUGACGGAGCAACGCCGCGUGAGUGAAGAAGGUCUUCGGAUCGUAAAACUCUGUUAUUAGGGAAGAACAAAUGUGUAAGUAACUAUGCACGUCUUGACGGUACCUAAUCAGAGAGCCACGGCUAACUACGUG